Molecule: RNase P RNA, 329 nt
Filed under: Clostridium perfringens
Lineage: Bacteria; Bacillati; Bacillota; Clostridia; Eubacteriales; Clostridiaceae
Description: RNase P RNA component class A
Rfam family: Bacterial RNase P class A
About the family: Ribonuclease P (RNase P) is a ubiquitous endoribonuclease, found in archaea, bacteria and eukarya as well as chloroplasts and mitochondria. Its best characterised activity is the generation of mature 5'-ends of tRNAs by cleaving the 5'-leader elements of precursor-tRNAs. Cellular RNase Ps are ribonucleoproteins.
Source: RNAcentral
CGAGUAAGCCAGACAAUCGCUGCUAGUCUUAGAACUAGGAGAGGAAAGUCCGAGCUCCAUAGGGCAGGAUGCUGGAUAACGUCCAGUGGAGGUGACUCUAAGGAUAGUGCAACAGAAAUAAACCGCCUAGAUUUAUCUAGGUAAGGGUGGAAAGGUGAGGUAAGAGCUCACCAGUGUAUAGGUGACUAUACUGCUAUGUAAACCCCAUCUGGAGCAAGACCAAAUAGGAGGACAUUAUAGGGGCUGCCCGUCCCGUCCUCGGGUGUGUCGCUAAUACCUAAGUGUUUUUUUAUUUUACAAAAAAAUAUACUGAUAGUUUCUUUCCUUAU